AAAUUUACAAGCUCAGGACAUCAUAAAUUCUAAAAUUCAUAAUGCUUCAUUCACAAAUUACAAAUAAAUUUGCAAUGUCCAGAAUUGAUUGAAAAACAAAAGCCCCAAAUUUGCAAACCAACAACCAACAAUCAACAACAAAACCAACAACACAACUCAAAAUCAUUAACCAAGCACAAUAUUCUUCAACAUUUUCUACAUUAAUCAACAACCAUCCUAAAUUCUUCACGAUAUUCUUCAUAGCUCAAAAACAAAAAAUUCUUCACAAUACUCUUCACCAAAUUAGCCAAUUACAUAUAUUUAGGCAUGAUAUUAUACAAUAAAAAAAUUGAUCCUUAAUUGAGGUGGAGUAUCGGAGUUGGUGAUGGCUUGUUGGUUUGAAUCACGUCGGCACUGGUUUGGGUCGCGUUGGAACAUAUCGGUGCUGCUGCCUCACGCGCAUUGAGUGGUUGCUGCUGCAGCGUCGCGCGACUGUGCUGGGGGUCGGGAGAUGGUGGGUGGCUGAACACUUCACGCUCGCGGUUUUGGACUCUCGCGGCUUGCUGGUGGCCGUUCGCUGCUGUGCUGGACACUGUGGGAUGCUCUGGGUUGCUGGCGGCGUGAACAACGAGAAAUGGGGGAAACCGAAAAUGAGGGAUUUAGUUUAGGAAUUGAUUUUGGUUUCGGGUUCAAGAUCGAUUUGAAUCUAGUAUUCCGUUUUGUUUUUUCUUUUAAUUUUUCAGUUUAU
Molecule: long non-coding RNA, 727 nt
Filed under: Citrus maxima (pomelo)
Lineage: Eukaryota; Viridiplantae; Streptophyta; Magnoliopsida; Sapindales; Rutaceae
Description: long non-coding RNA (CMAX_LNC000258)
Source: RNAcentral